RNAcentral lists this ribosomal RNA (119 nucleotides) under Solanum lycopersicum (tomato). Lineage: Eukaryota; Viridiplantae; Streptophyta; Magnoliopsida; Solanales; Solanaceae. The record is from RNAcentral.
GGAUGCGUUCAUACCAGCACUAACGCAUCGGAUCCCAUCAGAACUCAGAAGUUAAGCGUGCUUGGGAUAGAGUGGUACUAGGAUAGGUAACCCCCUGGGAAGUCCUCGUGCUGCAUCCC